GGGUGAAUUAGUGCAGCGGAAAUCUUUCAGCGAUUAAAAACGAAAGCUGCGUUCGUUCGAUAAAAACUAUUUUGAUGCAAAAGCCGAUUCUAAGAUUACUUAUGAUUAAGUGCAGUUUACGUCUAAACACAGUUUGCGUCUAAACGCAGUUUGCGUCUAAAUGCAGAUUGCGUCUAAGCUCAGAUUGCGUCUAAGCGCAGUUU
RNAcentral lists this long non-coding RNA (203 nucleotides) under Musa acuminata (dwarf banana). Its description in RNAcentral is "long non-coding RNA (MACU_LNC006941)". Lineage: Eukaryota; Viridiplantae; Streptophyta; Magnoliopsida; Zingiberales; Musaceae. The record is from RNAcentral.